AGGAGGAUCAAGAAGUACAGGAGAACAUCUACCAGCGCCUGUCCAAACCAACAAAGCACCGUGGAGAGUUGGUCAGGGCUGUUAAACUGCGUAGCUUUACCACCAUCUGGAAUGCAGAAACCAUCGCUGAGGAAUGGAAUAGGAUUAUGUCAGUGGUCACUGAUGCUGCUCAUCGCAAUGUAAGGAGUGAAGGAGGCUGCCACAGGUAUCCAGAAGAAGGCGUUACUCAGGUACCC
Lemur catta (Ring-tailed lemur) is the source of this 236-nucleotide long non-coding RNA. RefSeq lists it as uncharacterized. The record is from RefSeq and is a predicted model, not a curated record. The transcript has 3 exons. NCBI's taxonomy places the organism in Eukaryota, Metazoa, Chordata, Mammalia, Primates, Lemuridae.